GUAGCCACACAAGUGUCCAACCUCUAUGGAUAUCCACACGAGACUCUAAUCUAAUCAGAAGCCUUUUGAUUUCAUCAGGAUGCUAGAUCUCUUGUAGAGAUCAGAUCUUGAUGGUUGAAAAUCUUUUUUUUUUACUAAGACACUCGUAGAGAAUAAGAUGUAGGAGGAUCUUGAUCUCUAUGGUAGAGAUUAGGAGAAGAACCCUUUCUUCUCUUUUCUUCCUAAAAUUCAUGCACC
This 237-nucleotide long non-coding RNA is filed under the name Elaeis guineensis (African oil palm). Its description in RNAcentral is "long non-coding RNA (EGUI_LNC042652)". The record is from RNAcentral. Lineage: Eukaryota; Viridiplantae; Streptophyta; Magnoliopsida; Arecales; Arecaceae.